This 265-nucleotide ribosomal RNA is filed under the name uncultured prokaryote. RNAcentral describes it as "partial 16S ribosomal RNA". It matches the Rfam family "Bacterial small subunit ribosomal RNA", at positions 524 to 788 of the family's 1533-position model. The record is from RNAcentral.
UACGUAGGGGCAAGCGUUGUCCGGAAUAAUUGGGCGUAAAGGGCGCGUAGGCGGCAGCGCAAGUCAGCAGUGGAAGUCCCAUUUUCAAGGUGGGGAGGGCUGUUGAAACUGCGAUGCUUGAGUGCAGGAGAGGUUAUCGGAAUUCCCGGUGUAGCGGUGAAAUGCGUAGAGAUCGGGAGGAACACCAGUGGCGAAGGCGGCUUACUGGACUGUAACUGACGCUGAGACACGAAAGCGUGGGUAGCAAACAGGAUUAGAUACCUCU